GGCUCAGAACGAACGCGGCGGGCGUGGAUAAGACAUGCAAGUCGAACGAUCAUUAGUGGGUAGCAAUAUUCGCUAGUGGGAGUGGCGCAAGGGUGCGUAACACGUGGGUAAUUUGCCGUGAAGUCUGGAAUAACUUGCUGAAAGGCGAGCUAAUACCGGAUGUGAUUGCUGGAGGGCAUCCUCUGGCACUUAAAGUCGGGGACCGUAAGGCCUGACACUUUUCGAUAAGCCCGCGGCCUAUCAGCUAGUUGGUGAGGUAACGGCUCACCAAGGCUAAGACGGGUAGCUGGUCUGAGAGGACGACCAGCCUCACUGGAACUGAGACACGGUCCAGACACCUACGGGUGGCAGCAGUCGAGAAUUUUUCUCAAUGGGGGAAACCCUGAAGGAGCGACGCCGCGUGGGGGAUGAAUGGCUUCGGCCCGUAAACCCCUGUCAUUUGCGAUCAAACCUUACGACCUAACACGUCGUAAGCUGAUAGUAGCGGAAGAGGAAGGGACGGCUAACUCUGUGCCAGCAGCCGCGGUAAUACAGAGGUCCCAAGCGUUGUUCGGAUUCACUGGGCGUAAAGGGUGCGUAGGCGGUCGGGUAAGUCUGACGUGAAAUCUUCAAGCUCAACUUGAAAACUGCGUCGGAUACUAUUCGGCUAGAGGAAUGGAGGGGAGACUGGAAUACUUGGUGUAGCAGUGAAAUGCGUAGAUAUCAAGUGGAACACCAGUGGCGAAGGCGAGUCUCUGGACAUUUCCUGACGCUGAGGCACGAAAGCCAGGGGAGCAAACGGGAUUAGAUACCCCGGUAGUCCUGGCCCUAAACGGUGCACGUUUGCUGUAAGAGGAAUCGACCCCUUUUGUGGCGAAGCUAACGCGUUAAACGUGCCGCCUGGGAAGUACGGCCGCAAGGGUAAA
Molecule: ribosomal RNA, 905 nt
Filed under: uncultured bacterium
Lineage: Bacteria
Description: bacterial SSU rRNA
Rfam family: Bacterial small subunit ribosomal RNA
Source: RNAcentral